UACGGAGGAUGCGAGCGUUAUCCGGAUUAUUGGGUUAAGGGUGCGUAGGCGGAAUGGUAAGUCGGUGGUGAAAUCCCUGCAGCUCAACUGUAGUUGUGCCAUUGAUACUGUCAUUCUUGAGUACAGAUGAGGUAGGCGGAAUGAGUAGUGUAGCGGUGAAAUGCAUAGAUAUUACUCAGAACACCAAUUGCGAAGGCAGCUUACUAAACUGACACUGACGCUGAAGCACGAAAGCGUGGUAUCAAACAGG
Molecule: ribosomal RNA, 250 nt
Filed under: uncultured bacterium
Lineage: Bacteria
Description: partial 16S ribosomal RNA
Rfam family: Bacterial small subunit ribosomal RNA
Source: RNAcentral